UUGAAGGUUGGGUAACACUAACUGGAGGACCGAACCGACUAAUGUUGAAAAAUUAGCGGAUGACCUGUGGCUGGGGGUGAAAGGCCAAUCAAACCGGGAGAUAGCUGGUUCUCCCCGAAAGCUAUUUAGGUAGCGCCUCGUGAAUUCAUCUCCGGGGGUAGAGCACUGUUUCGGCUAGGGGGCCAUCCCGGCUUACCAACCCGAUGCAAACUGCGAAUACCGGAGAAUGUUAUCACGGGAGACACACGGCGGGUGCUAACGUCCGUCGUGAAGAGGGAAACAACCCAGACCGCCAGCUAAGGUCCCAAAGUCAUGGUUAAGUGGGAAACGAUGUGGGAAGGCCCAGACAGCCAGGAUGUUGGCUUAGAAGCAGCCAUCAUUUAAAGAAAGCGUAAUAGCUCACUGGUCGAGUCGGCCUGCGCGGAAGAUGUAACGGGGCUAAACCAUGCACCGAAGCUGC
RNAcentral lists this ribosomal RNA (460 nucleotides) under Salmonella enterica subsp. enterica serovar Enteritidis. Its description in RNAcentral is "partial 23S ribosomal RNA". It matches the Rfam family "Bacterial large subunit ribosomal RNA", at positions 745 to 1203 of the family's 2925-position model. The record is from RNAcentral. Lineage: Bacteria; Pseudomonadati; Pseudomonadota; Gammaproteobacteria; Enterobacterales; Enterobacteriaceae.